GGAGUUGUGGCUCAGUAGUAGAGCACUUGCCUGGCAUGUGUGAGGCCCUGGGUUCAAUCCUCAGCACCA
RNAcentral lists this transfer RNA (69 nucleotides) under Ictidomys tridecemlineatus (thirteen-lined ground squirrel). RNAcentral describes it as "Spermophilus tridecemlineatus (thirteen-lined ground squirrel) tRNA". It matches the Rfam family "tRNA". From Rfam's summary of the family: Transfer RNA (tRNA) molecules are approximately 80 nucleotides in length. Lineage: Eukaryota; Metazoa; Chordata; Mammalia; Rodentia; Sciuridae. The record is from Rfam by way of RNAcentral.